UACGGAGGGUGCAAGCGUUUUUCGGAAUCAUUGGGCGUAAAGCGCGCGUAGGUGGCUGAGUAAGAUGGGUGUGAAAUCCCCGGGCUCAACCUGGGAACGGCAUCCGGAACUGUCAAGCUAGAGUGCAGGAGAGGAAGGUAGAAUUCCCGGUGUAGCGGUGAAAUGCGUAGAGAUCGGGAGGAAUACCAGUGGCGAAGGCGGCCUUCUGGACUGACACUGACACUGAGGUGCGAAAGCGUGGGUAGCAAACAGG
Molecule: unclassified non-coding RNA, 253 nt
Filed under: uncultured Halomonadaceae bacterium
Lineage: Bacteria; Pseudomonadati; Pseudomonadota; Gammaproteobacteria; Oceanospirillales; Halomonadaceae
Description: contains 16S-23S intergenic spacer region
Rfam family: Bacterial small subunit ribosomal RNA
Source: RNAcentral